Molecule: unclassified non-coding RNA, 616 nt
Filed under: Hevea brasiliensis (rubber tree)
Lineage: Eukaryota; Viridiplantae; Streptophyta; Magnoliopsida; Malpighiales; Euphorbiaceae
Source: RNAcentral
UCUAUUCUUCAAGCAUAUAGCUGUUUCUUUUUUUUUUUUAUUUCUUAUUGAUUAUGUAUUUAAUACAAUUGUGUCUAUUUUUCAUAUGGAUGGUGACACCCUUAUUCUUUUUACUUUUCUUUUAUCAAGAUAACCAUUAAAGUUCAAAAUCAUGAAUAAAAGAAAAGUAAAAAGAAUAAGAAACAGCUAUAUGCUUGAAGAAUAGANAACAGAUCGAGAGGGAUCUGAUUCAUCCACGUGUCAAAGACCCAACACCUCUGGAAAUCUCAUGCACGCCAGGGCUGAACCCCAAGCAACCCAAUAGCCCUUGCUUGUAAGGCAAAAAGGUUUUCCUUUUCAUCUCCUCUGAAACUGCUCUGUUCACCGUGUAGUGUAAUUCGUGAGCCGAUACAGGAGCUCUUCUCCUGGAGGAGCCACCCAGACUGCCAUCUGUGGAUCGAAAACUGGCAUUCUUGACGUCCUCUGCUAUCUCCUUUUUGGACAAGACUGCAUAUUUUGUCAGUGGGUCUUUUCCUGUUGCUCUUCCCUCUGAUGCACUUCUGAAUAGCAAGAAAUCCUUGAAUUUCCAUUUCUUGCAACCUUUCGAUGAAAAUGAUAUCGCCGACAAGAAAGAAGA